RNAcentral lists this ribosomal RNA (465 nucleotides) under uncultured bacterium. RNAcentral describes it as "partial 16S ribosomal RNA". It matches the Rfam family "Bacterial small subunit ribosomal RNA", at positions 339 to 795 of the family's 1533-position model. The record is from RNAcentral.
UUACGGGCUGCAGCAGUGGGGAAUAUUGGACAAUGGGGGAAACCCUGAUCCAGCAAUGCCGCGUGUGUGAAGAAGGCCUGCGGGUUGUAAAGCACUUUCGGUUGGGAGGACUGCUUCUAGCACUAAUAUUGUUGGAAGUUGACGUUACCUUCAGAAGAAGCACCGGCUAACUCCGUGCCAGCAGCCGCGGUAAUACGGAGGGUGCAAGCGUUAAUCGGAAUUACUGGGCGUAAAGCGCGCGUAGGCGGCUAGAUCAGUCGGGUGUGAAAGCCCCGGGCUUAACCUGGGAACUGCAUCCGAUACUGUCUAGCUUGAGUACAGGAGAGGAGAGUGGAAUUCCACAUGUAGCGGUGAAAUGCGUAGAUAUGUGGAGGAACACCAAUGGCGAAGGCAGCUCUCUGGCCUGAUACUGACGCUGAGGUGCGAAAGCAUGGGGAGCAAACAGGAUUAGAUACCCUUGUAGUC